RNAcentral lists this ribosomal RNA (469 nucleotides) under uncultured bacterium. RNAcentral's name for it is "bacterial SSU rRNA". It matches the Rfam family "Bacterial small subunit ribosomal RNA", at positions 28 to 507 of the family's 1533-position model. The record is from RNAcentral.
GAUGAACGCUGGCGGCGUGCCUAAUACAUGCAAGUCGAACGAGGCCCUCUUCCUUCGGGAGGAGGUGUCCUAGCGGCGAACGGGUGAGUAACGCGUUGGUGACCUGCCCCGAAGAGGGGGAUAACCCCGCGAAAGCGGGGCUAAUACCCCAUAGUGUCGUAAAGGUUAGAGACUAUACGACUAAAGGAGCAAUCCACUUCGGGAGGGGCCUGCGUCCCAUCAGCUAGUUGGUAAGGUAACGGCCUACCAAGGCGAAGACGGGUAGGGGGCCUGAGAGGGUGGCCCCCCACACUGGCACUGAAACGCGGGCCAGACACCUACGGGUGGCAGCAGUAGGGAAUAUUGCACAAUGGGCGAAAGCCUGAUGCAGCAACGCCGCGUGCGCGAAGAAGGCCUUCGGGUUGUAAAGCGCUUUUCUGGAGGAAGAGGAAGGACGGUACUCCAGGAAUAAGGAUCGGCUAACUACGUG